UAGCAUAUCAAUAAGCGGAGGAAAAGAAACCAACAGGGAUUGCCCUAGUAACGGCGAGUGAAGCGGCAACAGCUCAAAUUUGAAAUCUGGCUUCGGCCCGAGUUGUAAUUUGCAGAGGAAGCUUUAGGCGCGGCACCUUCUGAGUCCCCUGGAACGGGGCGCCAUAGAGGGUGAGAGCCCCGUAUAGUUGGAUGCCUAGCCUGUGUAAAGCUCCUUCGACGAGUCGAGUAGUUUGGGAAUGCUGCUCAAAAUGGGAGGUAAAUUUCUUCUAAAGCUAAAUACCGGCCAGAGACCGAUAGCGCACAAGUAGAGUGAUCGAAAGAUGAAAAGCACUUUGAAAAGAGGGUUAAAUAGCACGUGAAAUUGUUGAAAGGGAAGCGCUUGUGACCAGACUUGCGCCGGGCGGAUCAUCCGGUGUUCUCACCGGUGCACUCCGCCCGGCUCAGGCCAGCAUCGGUUCUCGCGGGGGGAUAAAGGUCCUGGGAACGUAGCUCCUCCGGGAGUGUUAUAGCCCGGGGCGUAAUGCCCUCGCGGGGACCGAGGUUCGCGCAUCUGCAAGGAUGCUGGCGUAAUGGUCAUCAGCGACCCGUCUUGAAACACGGACCAAGGAGUCAAGGUUUUGCGCGAGUGUUUGGGUGUAAAACCCGCACGCGUAAUGAAAGUGAACGUAGGUGAGAGCUUCGGCGCAUCAUCGACCGAUCCUGAUGUUUUCGGAUGGAUUUGAGUAGGAGCGUUAAGCCUUGGACCCGAAAGAUGGUGAACUAUGCUUGGAUAGGGUGAAGCCAGAGGAAACUCUGGUGGAGGCUCGCAGCGGUUCUGACGUGCAAAUCGAUCGUCAAAUCUGAGCAUGGGGGCGAAAGACUAAUCGAACCAUCUAGUAGCUGGUUACCGCCGA
RNAcentral lists this ribosomal RNA (895 nucleotides) under Chaetomium globosum. Its description in RNAcentral is "LSU rRNA". It matches the Rfam family "Eukaryotic large subunit ribosomal RNA", at positions 36 to 964 of the family's 3401-position model. The record is from RNAcentral. Lineage: Eukaryota; Fungi; Ascomycota; Sordariomycetes; Sordariales; Chaetomiaceae.